AUGAGGUUUAUUGUUGGAGGUUCGAGAGGCGAUCUCAUUGCGAUAUUGCCGUCCGACGAUCGGUGGGUAAUUGAAGUAGCUACAUGGCUUUCCAAUCCUAACAAGGUACCUAAAUCAGUAGAAAUAGAGGUGUCGAAACCACCUCUGCCGCUUUGGAAGCCAGAUUCUGACGAUGAAGGAGAAUCACCACCACGUCCAUCAUCACCAACCAGUAGGAAAGUGAUGGUUUUCCCUGUGAUUAUUCAUGUGAAAGAGGUCUUGGACCGUGGUACCUUGAUGUCUGAAUUGCCAUCUAAAUAUCUUCCUGACGAAGACGUGGAUCUAUCUCGAAUCCAUGUGUUCGACACUUGGUGUGGACAAGUUGAUGGCAGUGGCCCAGGUGAUGAUGGAAAGGCGUAG
Molecule: ribosomal RNA, 399 nt
Filed under: Triticum aestivum (bread wheat)
Lineage: Eukaryota; Viridiplantae; Streptophyta; Magnoliopsida; Poales; Poaceae
Description: partial small subunit ribosomal RNA
Source: RNAcentral